RNAcentral lists this ribosomal RNA (235 nucleotides) under uncultured bacterium. RNAcentral describes it as "partial 16S ribosomal RNA". It matches the Rfam family "Bacterial small subunit ribosomal RNA", at positions 118 to 348 of the family's 1533-position model. The record is from RNAcentral.
UGAGGAACAUGACCUUCGGCGGGGGAUAGCCGGCCCAACGGCCGGGUAAUACCGCGUACGACCACAUGGGGACAUCCCCGAGUGGUGAAAGCAGCAAUGCGCCGAUGGAGUGCCUCGCGGCCUAUCAGCUAGUUGGUGAGGUAACGGCUCACCAAGGCGACGACGGGUAGCUGGUCUGAGAGGAUGGCCAGCCACAGUUGGGACUGAGACACGGCCCAGACCUCCGUAGGGACGG